UGAAUACGAGACGCUAAGGCGUCGAAGUAGUGUAUGUCAUACUUCCAAGAAAAGCUUGCACUGUCAUAGAUAAAAAACGCCUGUACCAUAACCGACACAGGUGGGUAGGUAGAGUAUACUAAGGGGCGAGAGAUAACUCUCUCUAAGGAACUCGGCAAAAUAACUCCGUAACUUCGGGAGAAGGAGUGCCUUAUUCGUAAGGUUGCAAUAACAAGAUCCAAGCAACUGUUUAUCAAAAACACAGGUCUCCGCUAAGUCGUAAGACGAUGUAUGGGGGCUGACGCCUGCCCAGUGCCAGAAGGUUAAAGAAGUUGGUUAGCAAUUGCGAAGCUGAUAACUGAAGCCCUGGUGAACGGCGGCCGUAACGAUAACGGUCCUAAGGUAGCGAAAUUCCUUGUCGGGUAAGUUCCGACCCGCACGAAAGGCGUAAUGAUUUGGAUACUGUCUCGGAGAGGGGCUCGGUGAAAUAGACUUGUCUGUGAAGAUGCGGACUACCUGCACCAGGACAGAAAGACCCUAUGAAGCUUUACUGUAACUUGAAAUUGAAAUUGGACUUUAUUCGCGCAGUAUAGGUGGGAGGCGUUGAUUAUAAUCUUGUGGGAUUAUUGGAGCCAUCAGUGAGAUACCACUCUUGUAAUGUUAGAUUUCUAACUUUGAAUCAUUAUCUGGUCAAAGAACAGUUUCAGGCGGGCAGUUUGACUGGGGCGGUCGCCUCCUAAACGGUAACGGAGGCGUACAAAGGUUUCCUCUGAACGGUUAGAAAUCGUAUCUAGAGUGUAAAGGCAUAAGGAAGCUUGACUGUGAGACCUACAAGUCGAGCAGGGACGAAAGUCGGUCUUAGUGAUCUGACGGUACUGAGUGGAAAGGCCGUCACUCAACGGAUAAAAGUUACUCUAAGGAUAACAGGCUGAUCUCCCCCAAGAGUUCACAUCGACGGGGAGGUUCGGCACCUCGAUGUCGGCUCAUCGCAUCCUGGGGCGGUAGUACGUCCCAAGGGUUGGGCUGUUCGCCCAUGAAAGCGGUACGCGAGCUGGGUUCAGAACGUCGUGAGACAGUUCGGUCCAUAUCCGGUGUAGGCGUUAGAAUAUUGAGAGGAGCCUUCUUUAGUACGAGAGGACCGAGAAGGACAUACCUCUGGUGUACCAGUUAUCGUGCCAACGGUAAACGCUGGGUAGCUAUGUAUGGAGUGGAUAACCGCUGAAAGCAUCUAAGUGGGAAGCCCACCUCAAGAUAAGUAUUCUCAUC
This 1245-nucleotide ribosomal RNA is filed under the name metagenome. RNAcentral describes it as "bacterial LSU rRNA". It matches the Rfam family "Bacterial large subunit ribosomal RNA", at positions 1564 to 2818 of the family's 2925-position model. The record is from RNAcentral.